This 440-nucleotide ribosomal RNA is filed under the name uncultured bacterium. Its description in RNAcentral is "bacterial SSU rRNA". It matches the Rfam family "Bacterial small subunit ribosomal RNA", at positions 29 to 517 of the family's 1533-position model. The record is from RNAcentral.
AGCGAACGCUGGCGGCAGGCCUAAUACAUGCAAGUCGAGCGGGUCCUUCGGGAUUAGCGGCGGACGGGUGAGUAACGCGUGGAACGUGCCCUUUGGUACGGAACAACUGAGGGAAACUUCAGCUAAUACCGUAUGUGCCCUUCGGGGAAAGAUUAUCGCCAUUGGAGCGGCCCGCGUUGGAUUAGGUAGUUGGUGAGGUAAAGGCUCACCAAGCCUACGAUCCAUAGCUGGUCUGAGAGGAUGACCAGCCACACUGGGACUGAGACACGGCCCAGACUCCUACGGGAGGCAGCAGUAGGGAAUCUUGCGCAAUGGGCGAAAGCCUGACGCAGCCAUGCCGCGUGAAUGAUGAAGGUCUUAGGAUUGUAAAAUUCUUUCACCGGGGACGAUAAUGACGGUACCCGGAGAAGAAGCCCCGGCUAACUUCGUGCCAGCAGCCG